RNAcentral lists this ribosomal RNA (444 nucleotides) under uncultured soil bacterium. RNAcentral describes it as "bacterial SSU rRNA". It matches the Rfam family "Bacterial small subunit ribosomal RNA", at positions 26 to 518 of the family's 1533-position model. The record is from RNAcentral.
AGAACGAACGCUGGCGGCAGGCCUAACACUUGCAAGUCGAACGCCCCGCAAGGGGAGUGGCAGACGGGUGAGUAACACGUGGGAGCGUACCCUUUGGUUCGGAACAACUCCGGGAAACUGGAGCUAAUACCGAAUAAGCCCUACGGGGGGAAAGAUUUAUCGCCGAAGGAUCGGCCCGCGUCGGAUUAGCUAGUUGGUGGGGUAAAAGCCUACCAAGGCGACGAUCCGUAGCUGGUCUGAGAGGAUGACCAGCCACACUGGGACUGAGACACGGCCCAGACUCCUACGGGAGGCAGCAGUGGGGAAUAUUGGACAAUGGGCGCAAGCCUGAUCCCAGCCCAUGCCGCGUGAGUGAUGAAGGCCUUAGGGUUGUAAACGCUCGUUUCGCCGAGGGACGAUAAUGACGGUACUGGAUAAGAGCCCGCUAACUCGCGCAGCAGCCGC